GAGUGCAGUAGUGCAUCAGUGAUGGUAUUUUCAUGUUCUGUGAGUUUUGCAAUGUAUAAAUGUUCGCCUUCUUCUAUUCCCUCUGUUUGCAGGUGGUGUGAGGACUGCUGCCCUCCUAAUAGUUAUUGUCCAAUUAGCUUUGUUGCAGUACCACGCUUCAUCCUAAUAGAGCGGCACUCAUCCUCCUGCCAAUCAUUUUUAAAGAGAGUGUGAAUCAUCACAUCAUAAUGGGAGAGGAUGAACCCAACACACCGUAUCCAGUUGUCCAGGUGACCCAAGAAGACUGGAAGUCUACGUUUGAGGGACAAAGCCACUGCUCACUUAUUGUAGACCGGGUCAGGGUGUGUGAGGCCAUCA
Long non-coding RNA from Sardina pilchardus (European sardine), 357 nucleotides. RefSeq lists it as uncharacterized. NCBI's taxonomy places the organism in Eukaryota, Metazoa, Chordata, Actinopteri, Clupeiformes, Clupeidae. The transcript has 3 exons. The record is from RefSeq and is a predicted model, not a curated record.